CUCAGACACAGAGGCCCAUGGCAGUGGCCCUGCUCUAGUGGCAGAGAUACUCAGGGGUCACAGGGAAUGUGACCUCCUUGCUGCACGUUCAGCCUUGGGAACGUGGGAACAGAUUUACUCCAGCCCCUUUCCUUCCCACCUGCAAGAGCUUGUGGAGGUCCUAAAGCUCUGUGACUUUUGAGGAAAAACAGGAGGAAAAGUGGGAGCUGAGGCCAGCAGAGAAGGAGCCAGCGCAACCGGGAGGAGCCAGAGGCUCUGCUGAGCAGUGCAGGGGAGAUGGACAAGGCUGUCCCGGCCUCACUACUGCAAGAUGUCAUCAUGAUUGUUCUGGAAAACCCUAGAGAAUCAACGGAGAAACUAACAAUUGGAGAAUACGGGAGAGGAGUGCCAUAUUCUUUAGUAAACAGGAUCGGCAGGUGAAGAUCAGCAGGAGAGCUGUGGUGCCAGGCCCUGAGUGACUUUAGACACUGAACACCCCCAAAGACUCUUCGCAAAUCUCCCAGUGACCUUCCCUGGAAAAGGGGCUCAUGUGGUGGGAGGUGCGGGCUGCGGCCCCGCACUCAGAUUCCAGGACGUUUCUGCCCUUGCU
This 589-nucleotide long non-coding RNA is filed under the name Macaca nemestrina (pig-tailed macaque). RNAcentral describes it as "lncRNA (ENSMNEG00000045756.1)". Lineage: Eukaryota; Metazoa; Chordata; Mammalia; Primates; Cercopithecidae. The record is from RNAcentral.